AUAAGAAUCACAUUUCACAACUAACAAUCUCCCUAAAUACUUUCAUAAAUCAGGUGGUAAUUCAAAUUAAUAAAAAUAUAAUUAUAAGAUAAGUGACACUAAUUCUCUAUCCACACAAAUUCCACCAGAGCUCUACACAAAUUCGUUCUCUAUAAAAAUAUCCUAUCCACCAUACCUUCCCUUAAUCUGGUUGAUCUCUCUUUAUACAGCUCCUUCAAUCAAUCAUAUUCAUUUCCAUCUCCCCCUUUCUCUUAGAUUCUUUAAAAUGAAUUAGGGAAUCUGAUUGUUGUUUUUGUUGGCAUUAAGAAUCUCCUACUGUAGUGAGUUGAAUGACGGAGCUCUCGUCGAUAAAAAGGUGGUUGGGAUUGGGUGAAGAUGAAAAGAAGAAUAACACGGCGCUAUUCGAUGGCGAUGGCAGCGAGGAUGGGUGGUAGAAUUUGUAUUCGGAGGCUCAUUACUUCAAAUGGUCACCACCGACUUAAGAGAAAUUUCCAAAAAGUUGGAGUGAUUUCUUGUUUCUCAAUUUCUAUAAUUUUCUAGAAUUUACAUCAACCUUCAUCUCAUUUUUUGCCGACAUACAAUAAGGAACCAAAAUUAUCUAGACUUUCUGCUUUCCACUGCCAUAGCUAAAGAAUCUGAAGAAGUGGAAAAGAUGCUAUUUUUGGAAUAAAAAGCUAUUUUCGGAGAAAUCUAUCCUGCGCUUGCGAUGAGGGUAUUGUUUCGCCUGGGCUAUGAACAAGAUGUUUUGUCUCAGGAUUGUGGUUUUAGUGAUGAGGUUGAUAGAAAAGUAUUUUGGGGGCUUGCAUUAAUGGUCAAUUUUUGGGAGCAAGACAGAAUCAAAAGAAUUUUAAAUACAAUAUCUCCCAAGUCCUCUACUUUAGAUUAAAACAAUGUUCUUGGCUUUCAAUUGGUGCAAAAAUUUUGGUGUUCCUUUAAUAAAACUAUCUUAUUUACAAUAUUGUUCGUAGCUUUUGCUAAAUGUUAAUGUUGUUUGUUGAUUCUUUUUCCUUUUGAUCUUUGUCAGACGUAUUUUCUCUUUCUCCAUGGGCUAAACCUUGGAAUUUUCGACAAUAUUGACAUGUAUUGUUG
RNAcentral lists this long non-coding RNA (1089 nucleotides) under Olea europaea subsp. europaea. Lineage: Eukaryota; Viridiplantae; Streptophyta; Magnoliopsida; Lamiales; Oleaceae. The record is from RNAcentral.